This 1342-nucleotide ribosomal RNA is filed under the name uncultured bacterium. RNAcentral describes it as "bacterial SSU rRNA". It matches the Rfam family "Bacterial small subunit ribosomal RNA", at positions 28 to 1381 of the family's 1533-position model. The record is from RNAcentral.
GACGAACGCUGGCGGCGUGCUUAACACAUGCAAGUCGAACGAUGAUGCCCAGCUUGCUGGGUGGAUUAGUGGCGAACGGGUGAGUAACACGUGAGUAACCUGCCCCUGACUCUGGGAUAAGCGUUGGAAACGACGUCUAAUACUGGAUAUGACUGCCGGCCGCAUGGUCUGGUGGUGGAAAGAUUUUUUGGUUGGGGAUGGACUCGCGGCCUAUCAGCUUGUUGGUGAGGUAAUGGCACACCAAGGCGACGACGGGUAGCCGGCCUGAGAGGGUGACCGGCCACACUGGGACUGAGACACGGCCCAGACUCCUACGGGAGGCAGCAGUGGGGAAUAUUGCACAAUGGGCGAAAGCCUGAUGCAGCAACGCCGCGUGAGGGAUGACGGCCUUCGGGUUGUAAACCUCUUUUAGUAGGGAAGAAGCGAAAGUGACGGUACCUGCAGAAAAAGCACCGGCUAACUACGUGCCAGCAGCCGCGGUAAUACGUAGGGUGCAAGCGUUGUCCGGAAUUAUUGGGCGUAAAGAGCUCGUAGGCGGUUUGUCGCGUCUGCUGUGAAAUCCCGAGGCUCAACCUCGGGCUUGCAGUGGGUACGGGCAGACUAGAGUGCGGUAGGGGAGAUUGGAAUUCCUGGUGUAGCGGUGGAAUGCGCAGAUAUCAGGAGGAACACCGAUGGCGAAGGCAGAUCUCUGGGCCGUAACUGACGCUGAGGAGCGAAAGCAUGGGGAGCGAACAGGAUUAGAUACCCUGGUAGUCCAUGCCGUAAACGUUGGGCGCUAGAUGUAGGGACCUUUCCACGGUUUCUGUGUCGUAGCUAACGCAUUAAGCGCCCCGCCUGGGGAGUACGGCCGCAAGGCUAAAACUCAAAGGAAUUGACGGGGGCCCGCACAAGCGGCGGAGCAUGCGGAUUAAUUCGAUGCAACGCGAAGAACCUUACCAAGGCUUGACAUACACCGGAAACGGCCAGAGAUGGUCGCCCCCUUGUGGUCGGUGUACAGGUGGUGCAUGGUUGUCGUCAGCUCGUGUCGUGAGAUGUUGGGUUAAGUCCCGCAACGAGCGCAACCCUCGUUCUAUGUUGCCAGCGCGUUAUGGCGGGGACUCAUAGGAGACUGCCGGGGUCAACUCGGAGGAAGGUGGGGAUGACGUCAAAUCAUCAUGCCCCUUAUGUCUUGGGCUUCACGCAUGCUGCAAUGGCCGGUACAAAGGGCUGCGAUACCGUAAGGUGGAGCGAAUCCCAAAAAGCCGGUCUCAGUUCGGAUUGAGGUCUGCAACUCGACCUCAUGAAGUCGGAGUCGCUAGUAAUCGCAGAUCAGCAACGCUGCGGUGAAUACGUUCCCGGGCCU